UACUCAGUUCGGAUUGAAGGCUGAAAUUCGCCUUCAUGAAGCUGGAAUUGCUAGUAAUGGCAGGUCAGCAUACUGCCGUGAAUACGUUCCCGGGCCUUGUACACACCGCCCGUCACACCAUGAGAGUUGGCAACACCCGAAGUCGGUAGUCUAACCGCAAGGAGGACGCCGCCGAAGGUGGGGUUGAUGAUUAGGGUUAAGUCGUAACAAGGUAGC
RNAcentral lists this ribosomal RNA (216 nucleotides) under uncultured bacterium. RNAcentral describes it as "partial 16S ribosomal RNA". It matches the Rfam family "Bacterial small subunit ribosomal RNA", at positions 1285 to 1500 of the family's 1533-position model. The record is from RNAcentral.